This 453-nucleotide ribosomal RNA is filed under the name Triticum aestivum (bread wheat). RNAcentral's name for it is "partial small subunit ribosomal RNA". The record is from RNAcentral. Lineage: Eukaryota; Viridiplantae; Streptophyta; Magnoliopsida; Poales; Poaceae.
AUGCCCCAAAACCUUUCCAGAAAAUUCUUCUGGUUACUGCUACUGGAUAGACUAAACACCAAAGACUUGUUGAUAAGAAAAAAAAUCUGUAAAGAGGAGAAUAAAUGUGUUUUAUGUGAGGAGGAACCCAAUGAAUACCUGCAUCAUCUCUUUUUCAACUGUGACUUCAGUCAGAACUUCUGGAUGGCAUUAAGCAUGGAAUGGAACAUAGAUCUAAAUACCAUGGAGAUGAUGAUAGAAGCUAAGAACACAACCAACAUGGUAUGUUUCAAGGAAUGCUUAAUGGAUGGAUGUUGGAGCAUCUAGAAACAUAGAAAUGCUAUAAUCUUUGACAACAAAACCAAAGAUAUAGCAUACUACAUAUCAUGCUUCAAGGAACACUUCAACACCAUAAUCAAAAAGACUAAGCCAAGUCUUAAGGAGGGAAUGCAAGCAUGGCUAGACACUUUGUAA